This 258-nucleotide ribosomal RNA is filed under the name uncultured prokaryote. RNAcentral describes it as "partial 16S ribosomal RNA". It matches the Rfam family "Bacterial small subunit ribosomal RNA", at positions 524 to 782 of the family's 1533-position model. The record is from RNAcentral.
UACGUAGGGGACGAGCGUUGUUCGGAAUUACUGGGCGUAAAGGGCGCGCAGGCUGUAGAUCAAGUCAGCUGUGAAAUGUCUGGGCUUAACCCGGGCAUGCGGUUGAAACUGAUGUACUGGAGUGCUGUAGAGGCAAGUGGAAUUCCCAGUGUAGCGGUGAAAUGCGUAGAUAUUGGGAAGAACACCGGUGGCAAAGGCGACUUGCUGGGCAGCAACUGACGCUGAGGCGCGAAAGCCAGGGGAGCAAACGGGAUUAGA